RNAcentral lists this ribosomal RNA (907 nucleotides) under uncultured bacterium. RNAcentral's name for it is "bacterial SSU rRNA". It matches the Rfam family "Bacterial small subunit ribosomal RNA", at positions 8 to 914 of the family's 1533-position model. The record is from RNAcentral.
AGAGUUUGAUCAUGGCUCAGGAUGAACGCUAGCGGCAGGCCUAAUACAUGCAAGUCGAGCGGCAAGUUGAGUAGUAAUACUUAACCUAGAGCGGCGCACGGGUGCGUAACGCGUAUGCAACCUACCUUUUACUGGGAGAUAGCCCGGAGAAAUCUGGAUUAAUACCCCAUAGUACCAGAUUGUCGAAUGACGAUUUGGUUAAAGAUUUAUCGGUAAGAGAUGGGCAUGCGUCUGAUUAGCUAGUUGGCGGGGUAACGGCUCAUCAAGGCGACGAUCAGUAGGGGUUCUGAGAGGAAGGUCCCCCACACUGGCACUGAGAUACGGGCCAGACUCCUACGGGAGGCAGCAGUAGGGAAUAUUGGGCAAUGGUCGCAAGACUGACCCAGCCAUGCCGCGUGCAGGAAGACGGCCCUCUGGGUUGUAAACUGCUUUUAUCUGGGAAGAAAAAGUCCAUGCGUGGAAAAUUGCCGGUACCAGAUGAAUAAGCACCGGCUAACUCCGUGCCAGCAGCCGCGGUAAUACGGAGGGUGCAAGCGUUGUCCGGAUUUAUUGGGUUUAAAGGGUGCGUAGGCGGCUGAAUAAGUCAGCGGUGAAAGACUUCGGCUUAACCGGAGCAGUGCCGUUGAUACUGUUUAGCUUGAGUGUUGGAGGGGUACAUGGAAUUGAUGGUGUAGCGGUGAAAUGCAUAGAUACCAUCAGGAACACCGAUAGCGAAGGCAUUGUACUGGCCAACAACUGACGCUGAGGCACGAAAGUGUGGGGAUCGAACAGGAUUAGAUACCCUGGUAGUCCACACCGUAAACGAUGAUUACUCGCUGUUAUGGUGUAUGCUGUAGCGGCCAAGCGAAAGCGUUAAGUAAUCCACCUGGGGAGUACGCCGGCAACGGUGAAACUCAAAGGAAUUGAC